Molecule: long non-coding RNA, 640 nt
Organism: Tupaia belangeri chinensis (Chinese tree shrew)
Lineage: Eukaryota; Metazoa; Chordata; Mammalia; Scandentia; Tupaiidae
Exons: 3
Source: RefSeq, a predicted model, not a curated record
CUGCCGGAGGCCGGGCUCCGAGCGAACCCCGGCCGGUGACCGGGCGUGCCGCGGGGCCAGGGUUGCGGGUGUUAACCGCUCUCCCGCUAAUUUAAAUGCUUCUCUUCUUCAAAAGCUGGUAACUCAAAGUAAGCUGUUGGGUUCAGCCUAAACCUUUUGCUGUCCAAUGUGGAGGAUAAGAUCUCUGGAUUAUGGCACUUUUUAGCCUAUUCCUAAUGUAUCUAUGAAUGCUUCUGGAAGCUUGUCUGAAUUCAGAAAUGCUGCUGAUUUCGAAGGAAAUUUUAUACAAGAAAAAAAAUGGAUUUAAAGACAUCUCAUCACUGAUACCCAACACUGGAUUUGAGUAAGAGCUUAAUGUAUGUUCAGCAUCAACAGAAAAGUUACUUAGCAUAUUUUGAACAGUUCUCAAUUUUAUUUAAAAACGUUUUAAGAAUUACAGCAUCUAACAUUUGCAGAAUACCUUACAGCAUUCCCUCUCUCACUGAACAGAUGUGAAAACAGAAAUAGAAGUUCAGUUGUGAACAUGUGCUGAGUAAUACAAGUAUAUAAUUGAGAACUAUAAUUGACUAUGUAAGUGAAUGUAGGCUUCUCUAACACUCUAGGAUUGGGAAGAAUAAAACUAUUGUCAAAAACCAUAGAG